AUGCGAUACGUAAUGUGAAUUGCAGAUUUCAGUGAAUCAUCGAAUCUUUGAACGCACAUUGCGCCCGCCAGUAUUCUGGCGGGCAUGCCUGUUCGAGCGUCAUUUCAACCAUCAAGCGCCUCGCUUGUGUUGGGGCCCUGCGGCUGCCGCAGGCCCCUAAAUCUAGUGGCGGGCUCGUCGUCGUACCGAGUGCAGUAAAUAUCCUCGCUCAGGGAACCCGACGGGUGCCGGCCGUGAAACCCCCCCUCCUUAAGGUUGACCUCGGAUCAGGUAGGAAUACCCGCUGAACUUAA
Molecule: unclassified non-coding RNA, 293 nt
Filed under: uncultured Lasiosphaeriaceae
Lineage: Eukaryota; Fungi; Ascomycota; Sordariomycetes; Sordariales; Lasiosphaeriaceae
Description: partial contains 5.8S ribosomal RNA, internal transcribed spacer 2, and large subunit ribosomal RNA
Rfam family: 5.8S ribosomal RNA (bases 1-102)
Source: RNAcentral